RNAcentral lists this ribosomal RNA (186 nucleotides) under Triticum aestivum (bread wheat). Its description in RNAcentral is "partial small subunit ribosomal RNA". Lineage: Eukaryota; Viridiplantae; Streptophyta; Magnoliopsida; Poales; Poaceae. The record is from RNAcentral.
CAAAGAAAGGCUCUCUCAUCGUUGAUCCACCUUGUUGGAUGGAAUAUUUGGAAAGAAAGGAACGCGCGCGUCUUUAGAAAUAAAGCGGCACCGGUGGCCGUGAUUGUUAACCUUAUUAAGGAGGAGGCAGCGCUUUGGGCUAUUGCGGGUGCCAAGCAUUUGUGUAAUGUAAUGCCGCGAGAGUAA